UAAAGGCUCUCAAUCUCUCAA
Molecule: non-coding RNA, 21 nt
Filed under: Caenorhabditis elegans
Lineage: Eukaryota; Metazoa; Nematoda; Chromadorea; Rhabditida; Rhabditidae
Source: RNAcentral